CAGCUGUAAGGGAAAAGAAAGAAGUCAUUAUAUACAACAGUGAAGACUGAAUCACUCUGACUUCACCAACCAGGCUACCUACGAGAGAUAUUGGCUGCUCUGCUUCAUUAUUUACCAUUCAGAACAGAAGUCUGGUCUGAGAUUUUACACAGAACUGACCCUUCUGUGUUAUAUGUAACCAUCAUUCCUGGUUUUGGAAUACAUUUUCUAAAUAUGCAAACCACACUUUUUUUUUUUUUUGGCUGUUGUUUUUUUUAUUUUUCAAGAUAGGGCUUCUUUAUGUUUUGUCCUCAUUGUCUUGGAACUCUGUAGAUAAGGCUGGUCUUGAUCUCAGAAGAUCUGCCUGCCUCUGCCUCCCAGUGGUUAUCACACCCAGCUGCAAACCACACUUUUGUAUGCUUGUAGAACUCAAACACUUAUGUACACUAGGCAAUGGCUUUACUACUGAGCAAUAUUUCCAACUCAGUUUUACCACUGUGUAUGUUUGCACCUAAUUUCCACGUGUAUAUAUGUAUGCAUUCAUUUAUUUAUUAGAAGAUUUCACUGGGAGGCUUUAGUCUCCCCAAGUGCAAGUACACCAGUUUUUGUUUUGCUUUGAGACAGGGUCUCAGUAUAUAACCCUGGCUGGUCUUACUCACAGAUAAUCCCCCUAAGAUUAAAGUUGUGCACCAUAAUGCCUUGCUUAUGAAAAUGCAAGCUCAAACUCAUCAUCUUCUUGCCUCUUCUUCUUCACCAUAUCUUACUACUGUGCUCUACCACAAUAGGCCACACCAGUAUUUUUUCCCCCCACCUUUUUUGAGACAGGGUCUUACUACAUAGCCCUGGCUGUCCUGGAACUCAUUAUGUAGACCAAGGUGGCCUCAAACUCAGAGAUCUGACUGCUUCUGCCUCUCAAGUGUGGGAAUUAAAGGUGUGAGCCACCCCUCAACACCAGAAUUUACUGAUUUUUAUUUUAAUUUAAACGAAUUAUUUAUUUCUACUUAUUUUAAACAAUUUGUUAUUACAUUUACAUUGGUGUUUUGCCUAUAUGCAUGUGUGUGAAAGUAUCAGAUCCCCUGAAACUGGAGUUACAGACAGUUGUGAGCUACCAUGUGGGUGCUGGGAAAUGAACCCAGGUCCUCUGGAAGAACAGCUGGUACACUUAAUCGUUGAGCCACCUCUCCACCCCCAUGCCACAAAUUUUUCUUUUUUUGGUAUUUCGAGACAGGGUUUCUCUGUAGCCCUGGCUGUCCUGGAACUCACUUUGUAGAGCAGGCUGGCCUCGAACUCAGAAAUCCGGCUGCCUCUGCCUCCCAAGUGCUGGGAUUAAAGGCGUGCACCACCACACCCAGCCAGAAUUUUUAAUGAAUUAACUAGUUCUUUUCCUAGAAUGAGGCACUGCAUCUGAUUUAACUAGUUCAUCAGCUCCUUAGUAAAAUAUGGGACUAAUAUUUACUGUACUUAUUUAAAAUUGAUAGAUCCAACUGAUAGUAACUAACUUUUAGGGAUAUCUUCUCUUCUUCCUUGCUUAAUCAACACUUUAAAAACAGCUUAGGUCUGGGUCUGGUGCCACAUGCCCAUACCCCAGCAUGGGGGAAGCACAAGGGUAGGAAAUCAUAAGCUUGAGAGCAGCUAGAACAUAGAUCUACCACUCUUUUUUUCUAAGAUGCUAUCUUCUUAUGCUGCCUAGGUUGACCCUGAACUGCUAAAACCAAGAGACUGACUUCUUGCCUAAGCCUCAGUAGCUAAGAUUUAGGAACGCUGAGCACUGAAGUGGAGGAUGUAUGCAUUAACUCUCAGAAAUAAUGAAAUGCAAGGUGUUAUCUACACACCACAGCUAUGCAAUACCUAGAAGAUGAUACUGAUCGCCUGGAACUAGGGAAACAAGUGCGACAGCUUUGCUGAAGGUAAAUCUACUUAGGCCUAAAGGACCCCUCGGGCGAGCUAUACCUGGACUCCUUGGUGGUGAUGACAGACGACAGCUGAUUGGUUGCUAGCCAGGACCACGCUUCUCCUUGUGCUGCUUCUCCUCCAAACUGCAACUUAAUGCACCUGCAAUGAAAAUGGCCCCACACCAGUAACCAGAUGCUGCAAUGUGACGACGUAAUGAAGAAGUUCUAAGACCCACACAUGUCUAUAUCCUUAUGUUUGCGUCCAGUAAGCUGAGAGGACAAGAAUCACUCUGAUUAUAGAAGGCCUAUAUGGUAUAGAGGUAACUACUACUCUCACCACAACUGGAUGAAGACUUACAAAUUAUCAAGUAAAGAAUAACCUGUCCAAGUUCACUUAAGAGUCUUGGGGACCCAAAUCGUCACACUGAAACCACCACACAGUUUCUAAGAUAUUUUGAUAAUAAAGUAACAUUUCUUCAUCUAUCC
Molecule: long non-coding RNA, 2357 nt
Organism: Mus musculus (house mouse)
Lineage: Eukaryota; Metazoa; Chordata; Mammalia; Rodentia; Muridae
Product: predicted gene, 39872
Exons: 5
Source: RefSeq, a predicted model, not a curated record